UGUGCAUAUGCCGUGGGAAACGCUUUUGGAACAAGUUGGAUUGCUCCGAAUUUCAGUGCCUAUCGGGCAGCCAGUGAACAUUUGUCCAUCUUUAAGGCAUUAAACUGAGAAGAACCACUGAGGAAAGCAUGCCACAGUCUUUCCCAAAAUCCCUGUGUCUUAAGGAACAACCAAGAAGUUAACUGGUCAGGGAAAAGAUUUCUUUUGGAACACAGAAGCCAUCGCUGUGUGCGGAAAUCCAUGACCUGGCCAUGACUUCUACAACCCGGAGGACUUGCCUGGCAUUACCGAAAAGCACAGGGGAAAGAUUCUGUGGCAGGUGCCGCAUUUCAUCCAGCUCACUCCGUGCUAGUUCCUAAGACAUCUUAAUUCUUACACAUAUGCAUAAUCGUGAUAUUUUGCCAUGAAUAACAAUAUAUUUCACAAUUAUCAACCAUUUUAAUUUUUAGCUUUCUAACCUCGGACUACUAUAAUAAAAAGAAAUAAUAAAUCCAAAAGUAGUAGUGGAAAAAAUAAGUAUCUCCAGGUUUGUUCCUGUAAAGUUAAUUAGUUCAAAACAGAGUGAGGACUCUAAGAGUUUGGGGUUUUUUUGUGUGUGUGUGUUAAGUAUCAGCAUUAAGUAUCUUCAAGACAAUUCAAAGUAAGAUGAUAAGUCACUAGGUUGUAAAUUUCACAAAAAAUCAUUAAAUACACUGUGUCGGACUACAGCGGAACAGUGGGAAGAACAUUCAGUAUUUGAGAGUAAACAACUCAAAUUAAGUUGUUUAGGAAUCUCACAGACAGGAAAAUUUUUCCUCUCUGGUUUUCCAUGGUAGCAUGUUUACAGUACUUGAAAAAUGUUGCUUUCAAGUCAUGUUAACUGCUUCUUAAGACCAUCAAAUAAGAAAUGAUAUAGCUUAUUAGUUCCAAAAUAGAAAAUCCUAUAACAUCAUUUCCUCUUCAUGUUAAGGUUAACUUCCAUUAUAAAUAUAUGCUUUCAGUAUAAAAUGCUCGACCUCAAAAGAUACCAGCUUUUGCGUUUUGAACUAUAAUCGUGAUCCAUAAAUGGUGAUAGAGCUUCAGCUACAUCUCAAACAUUUAUGUUCCACUCUCUUUAUCAAAGAGCGAUUUAUUUUCAGAGAAACAUUUAUCAAUUUAAGGUGUCUGAAAUAUUCAUUUUUUAAAAAGGGCUAUAAACAAGUAGCAAGAUGAAUAAUCUGGUUUUCUGUGGGUUAAGUUACAUAUCAAAAAAUCCUAAAAUUUUUCAUCAUUUUGAUGCACUAUUCUUAAUUUUUAAAAACUCAUUGUCUGAAAGCAAGACAGAUAUUUUAAUGCUAAUAUGUAAAAAUAAACCGGAUUUACGGUCUUGGGUCUCUGUCGUUGCCUAUAUAUCUAGAUGUCUACAAAAAUAUUCCAGAUUUUCUGCUUUUCUUAAUCUCAAAUGUUCAAAAUGACUACAUUUUCUAGAAUAUUUACCUAUUAGCUGAUGUUAUUGUUAAAAAGAAAAUCAGACUAAUUUUGGCAGUAUUGUGCCUUACUACAAAUCCUGUCUUUACUGUGAGAGUGGAGAAAAAUAAAAUUUGCAGAAUUCCAGUCUCUAGCCAUUGGCAUUUUCCGGGCUUUCUUGUUUUCUAUAUAUUGAGUCCCCUGUGCGUAUGGGAAGCUCAGCUGAGGACUAAUGCAAACUAUUUUCCCACAAGCCAACAUGUCGUCACUACAAAUAUACCUAAAAAUAAAAAUAAAUAACAUGUAAAA
This 1734-nucleotide long non-coding RNA is filed under the name Homo sapiens (human). Its description in RNAcentral is "HSALNT0360216". The record is from RNAcentral. Lineage: Eukaryota; Metazoa; Chordata; Mammalia; Primates; Hominidae.